AUGGGUAAGCUGCUAGCCUUGAAGGAACUAUAUGGUGAUUGGGAUACAAGCUUUGAUAAUCUGUAUAGUUUCAAGGCACAAAUUGAAAGUUGUUGCCUUGGUAGCAUAGUGAUCAUUGAUCAUUACACAAUAAAACAUAAAAUCAGAUUUAAAAGAAUUUUUGUCGCUUUCAAGCCUUGCAUCAACGGGUUCCUUAAUGGCUGUAGGCCAUACUUGGCAGUAGAUAGCACCUUCUUGACAGGCAGGUUCAAGGCGCAGCUAGCUAGUGCUACCGCCGUUGAUGGCCAUAGUUGGAUGUAUCCAGUUUGUAUGGGUGUUUUUGAUUCUGAAACUAAUGAGAAUUGGACCUGGUUCAUGCAAAUAGUUAGACAAGCCGUAGGAUCCCCAAGGGGUUUAACCAUAUGCACCGAUGCUGGGCAACCAGUGAUGACAGGUGUAAAAGAAGUGUUUCCAGAGGCUGAACAUAGGGAAUGUAUGUUUCACUUGGUGUCCAACUUCAAGAAGAAGUUUCAUGGAAAGGUGUUUGAUGACCACCUUUGGGCUGCUGCUUACUCAUGGAACCCAUAUAUAUUUGAAAAAAAUUGGGUUGCAAUGGACAUAGCAAAGCCAGCGGCAACUGCAUAUCUUAGGAGGUGGCACACUAGGUUGUGGUCUAGGAGUCAGUUCUCAACAAUUUCCAAGGUGGAUUAUGUUACAAACAACUCGGCUGAGUGCUUCAAUAAUUGGAUUAAGCACCACAAGUCCUUGAACUUGGAUGACUUCUUUGAUAAGGUUAGGCAGAUGAUUAUGAUCAUGUGGAACAGAAGGAGGAAAGUAGCAAGGAAGUUGGUUGGGUUGAUUCUUCCCCACAUAAUUAAGAAGUUGAACGCAAAUACUAGAGAAUUAAACUUGGAGGUGGUAGAAAGCUCAGAAGAAGUUGCUGAAGUGACAACAUUGGGAGGCAGCGGCUUUAGGUUUGUGGUCAACUUGCUUGAUAGGACAUGUUCUUGUAGACAAUGGCAAGUUUCUGGCCUUCCUUGCAAACAUGGUCUAGCAUUUAUCACAUCUCUUAUCAAUGCACACAUACAGAAUUAUGUGGACUUGUAUUACUCCAUUAACAAAUUUAGAGCAGCCUAUGACCAACUAAUUCCUGCCAUGGUUGACAAGAACCAAUGGCCUAAAUCUGACCAUGGAUUCUUCAUGUAUCCACCACUACUUAAAUCCACGGCGGGUAGGCAUAAAACUGAGAGGUAUAAAGGCUGUGGUGAGAAGAAAAGAAAAAGCGGCCAACACUUAUGCCCUAUUUGUAAGGACUAUGGGCAUCAUUGGCAUAAAUGCAAGAAGGGUAACCCAGAUGACAUUGCUGCUAUUUUAGCCGUGAGAGGACCACCAAAGAAGAGGGCAAAGACCACCAAAGCAUCAAUUGUGCCUUGUGAGGAUGAUGCUCCAGCAGCCUCUAUGUGCUUUCUGCCAAAGUUAGCCACUUUACACUCAUGCUCAUAA
This 1482-nucleotide ribosomal RNA is filed under the name Triticum aestivum (bread wheat). RNAcentral describes it as "partial small subunit ribosomal RNA". Lineage: Eukaryota; Viridiplantae; Streptophyta; Magnoliopsida; Poales; Poaceae. The record is from RNAcentral.